GGAAGGAUCAUUAUCGUACAACGGAGGCACAAUGGCUGUCGCUGACCUUCAAAGGUCGUGCACGCUCGAGUGCUCUCACACAUCCAUCUCACCCCUUUGUGCAUCGACGCGUGGGUUCCCUUUGAAAAGGGGGAGGCCCACGUUUUUCCACACAAACUUCAAAGUCACGUAGAAUGUACAUUUCUUUGUUUUGCGGUUCCACGCAAAAAAAAAUCUAUACAACUUUCAACAACGGAUCUCUUGGCUCUCGCAUCGAUGAAGAACGCAGCGAAAUGCGAUACGUAAUGUGAAUUGCAGAAUUCAGUGAAUCAUCGAAUCUUUGAACGCACCUUGCGCCCCUUGGCAUUCUGAGGGGCACACCCGUUUGAGUGUCGUGAAAUUCUCAAAACCCUUUUCUUUUGAUGGAGAAAAGGAUUUUGGACUUGGAGGACCAGUGCUCGCUUUCUUGUUUCGAAGGUGAGCUCCUCUCAAAGGAAUUAGUGGGGGGUUUGCUUUGCUUAUCCUUGACGUGAUAAGUUGUUUCUACGUUUUGGAUACAGCACUGUGCCCGCUUCCAAUCGUCCUUGCAGACAAAAGGUGGUGUCUCGGUCGCUUGGCCAGACCACAAAG
This 609-nucleotide ribosomal RNA is filed under the name uncultured fungus. RNAcentral's name for it is "eukaryotic LSU rRNA". The stretch from base 221 to 374 matches the Rfam family "5.8S ribosomal RNA". Lineage: Eukaryota; Fungi. The record is from RNAcentral.